RNAcentral lists this ribosomal RNA (253 nucleotides) under uncultured bacterium. RNAcentral's name for it is "partial 16S ribosomal RNA". It matches the Rfam family "Bacterial small subunit ribosomal RNA", at positions 524 to 776 of the family's 1533-position model. The record is from RNAcentral.
AACGUAGGUGGCAAGCGUUAUCCGGAUUUACUGGGCGUAAAGCAUGUGCAGACGGGUUGGUAAGUGGUGUAUGAAAGCGUUCGGCUUAACCGAGUAAGCGUAUGCCAGACUGCCAGUCUUGAGAGUGGGAGAGGGAUGUGGAAUUCCGGGUGUAGUGGUGAAAUGCGUAGAGAUCGGAAAGAACACCAACGGCGAAAGCACUCUGCUGGGCCGACACUGACACUGAGAGACGAAAGCUAGGGGAGCGAAUGGG